CUCUCUUCUCCUUCUCUCCUCUCAUGUCUGAAAUUCGAACGAUUUGGUGAUUUCAGGGAUCACGAAUCCCAAAUCAAGCUGACCAAUUUAUUUUCCGACUUAGGGUUUUGAGGUUUACGUAUAAAGUUGUUUUAGGGUUCAGUCUAUCUUCUUUGGUCUCUAAAAAUUGUGCACAAAGAUGAAGAAAAUCCCUAAACUUCUCAUUUUCUUUAAGUAUGAUAAAGCGUUUCGCUUGAUUUCACCCUUAGGUUUGAUUUUCGAUUAUGGGUUUCAUUGAAUCUGAUCUUGUGUGGAACCUCUUUUCUUAGUACUAGGGUUUUUGAUUUGAGAGAUCGUGAAGAGGAAUAACGCUUUCCUCAUCAAAGAGUUUGGAAAUGAAAAUCAGAUGCUUCAAACACCCUGAGUUAGCAAAUACAAAGACAGUUUCAGUUCAAGAUGGAAAAAAUUCGGGCAUAUGGAUGAGAGCUGAUGAUGUUGUGGUCAAAGUUUGAGGCGACGACUCUCAUGAGAGAUGCUGGUAUCAGGUCUGGUCGUGGUUGCGGAUGGAAGGGCAGGGGUUGCUACGAACCCGUUUUACGAACCCACAAGCCUCUUCAUGUGGAGUUAGAACCUGGAAUUUUGGGAAUAUUUUAGAAAAAUUUGAAGCAUCAUAUAGCUUAACGAUAGAUGGAGCAUAAGGAAGAAGAGUCAGUCGAAGAUGAGGCGCCUGUGAUAACAAUAUGGGAAGCAAUUGGAUGGCUAGGUUGUUUUAACUCUUUGGAUUUUCGUUCUUUCUGGAUACCUGGUCAAUGCGAUAGAGGUUGCUUGUGGCAUUGUGGACAUAGUUGAAGGAGAUGCUGAUAAUUAGUCAAAUGUCCUGCAGUACGUCAAAGAAUUGUAAAAAAAAAAAGAGAGAGUAAGUAACAUAGUUAAAGGACUGUAGUCCUCUAUAACUUGUGUGAAUGGUUGAUUUGUUGUUUGCUGCAGAUAUUGAGCGACUUCAUGUUGGGAAAAGUGGAAGACUAUCUCCAGCUAUUAGUGGAUAGCUAAUUUUCAGUCAGCCACUUUCAAAUUCUCUAGAUAUACUUGGGAAUCAUCUCUGAUCAAAGCUUAAAUCUAAUACAUAAAAGAUUAACCUGAAUGUGUCUUUUCCCGUAGCAACCGGAUUCCUGAAACUGCUUUGAUUGCGCGGUCUUAUCUUCCAAACAAGGUCUCAGAGAUACUAGCACUUUGGAGAAACGACCUCAACAAGAGGUAUACAGAAGAUCUCUUUAUUGUAUGAUUUCAUGAAUUGCCCAAGUUCAAUGAUGGUUAGCAUUCAUAAUUUAAUGAAUUGGAAAAGAAACAUACCGGGGAAGGUGUACAAGCAGCUGAAAGCUUUGUGGUCCUUGAAGGCUACAAGUAGUUGGGAGGGAAUCUCAGAUUGAUAAAGUAUAUAUGAUCCCGUAUAGUUGGGAGUUAGGAGGGAAUCUCAGCUAGAAACUGGACUAUGACACUCCCUCCCUGCUCACCCGUAUGUUUCUCUACCGAGAUUUCUUUAUUUGGCUGUUACUUGUCAUUAUUUGAAAGCAAAACAAUUUAGGAAAUAAAUCUA
Molecule: long non-coding RNA, 1573 nt
Organism: Papaver somniferum (opium poppy)
Lineage: Eukaryota; Viridiplantae; Streptophyta; Magnoliopsida; Ranunculales; Papaveraceae
Exons: 9
Source: RefSeq, a predicted model, not a curated record